GCCUCGGUAGCUCAGCUGGUAGAGCGACGGCCUGAAGAGCCGUGCGUCGCAGGUUCGACCCCUGCCCGAGGCACCA
This 76-nucleotide transfer RNA is filed under the name Burkholderia ubonensis. Its description in RNAcentral is "tRNA-Phe". It matches the Rfam family "tRNA". From Rfam's summary of the family: Transfer RNA (tRNA) molecules are approximately 80 nucleotides in length. Their secondary structure includes four short double-helical elements and three loops (D, anti-codon, and T loops). Lineage: Bacteria; Pseudomonadati; Pseudomonadota; Betaproteobacteria; Burkholderiales; Burkholderiaceae. The record is from RNAcentral.